CCCUUAGACGUUCUGGGCCGCACGCGCGCUACACUGACCAGUGCAACAAGCAUCCGUCCUUGGCCGACAGGCCCGGGCAAUCUUUGAACGCUGGUCGUGAUGGGGAUAGACUUUUGCAAUUUUUGGUCUUCAACGAGGAAUUCCUAGUAAACGCAAGUCAUCAACUUGCAUUGAUUACGUCCCUGCCCUUGGUACACACCGCCCGUCGCACCUACCGAUUGAAUGGUCCGGUGAAGCCUCCGGAUUGGCGCGCACCUCGGUGCCGCCGAGAAGUUGGCUAAACCUUACCAUUUAGAGGAAGGUGAAGUCGUAACA
Molecule: ribosomal RNA, 315 nt
Filed under: uncultured eukaryote
Lineage: Eukaryota
Description: partial 18S ribosomal RNA
Rfam family: Eukaryotic small subunit ribosomal RNA
Source: RNAcentral